Molecule: non-coding RNA, 93 nt
Organism: Pelobates cultripes (western spadefoot toad)
Lineage: Eukaryota; Metazoa; Chordata; Amphibia; Anura; Pelobatidae
Source: the annotation of a GenBank genome assembly
UUCAAUAAUAAACUUCCUCAGGGGCAUCUAACAAAAUACUGCAUGCAUAUGGACAGUAUUUUGUUAGAUGCCCCUGAGGAAGUUCAUUAUUGA